This 656-nucleotide long non-coding RNA is filed under the name Marmota monax (woodchuck). Lineage: Eukaryota; Metazoa; Chordata; Mammalia; Rodentia; Sciuridae. The record is from RNAcentral.
GUGAAAGCUUCUUAGAGGUGGUUCUAUGAGUUCAGACAAGAAGGAUGCCCAGCCACUCUGGCUGGCCCCACCCCAGGCUUGAGGGCUGUCCCUGCCUCCUUACGCCCUCCAGACUACCUCUGCUUAAGUGCCUCACUCUAGAGCUGCCAACCUGCCCCUCUCAAUGUCCCCUCCUGCAACCAGGGAUGCUGGUCAUGACCUAGCGGGUACCUGUGCCCUAUCUGGGUGACUCUUGGCUCCUUGCUUCUCUGCCCUUUUGGGGAUACACUCCUUUCUUCAUCUCAUCAAGGCUUUUCAGAGUAAACUACUGCAUUUUCCCCCCAUUACAGAGGGCCCUGGGGUUCUCUUCUGAACGACAGUACAAUUAGCAGACCCUACAGCUGUGAGCACAGAGUCUGCCCGGUGGAAAGAGAGUCUGACUUUAAGAAAACAUUGCAGGGAAUCAAUAUUUAUGCUCAGUGUUAACGAGACUCACUGGUCUCUGGGCAGGGGAUUCCAUUCUUGCCUCUUCUUAUCACCAGGGCACAAUUGUGGACACAGCCAUGGCACUGGUUGGCAAGGGCAGAAAACAGACCCUGAGCACAGGAGUUCCACACGGGUGUGAGAAUCACAGCCAGACUUGUCCCUGCCCUGGGGCUCUGCAUCCAUAUGCAUCU